AGCUGAGCUUCUUUCAGAGGUAAAUGGCAACCUUGAGAAGAAUAUAGAACAGCUGCAGAAAGAUCAGGAAGGGUUAAAGCAUGUUGUUCAAAAUAAAGAGUCUGAAAUAUGUGAGAUUCAAGAACAGUUAUCUGCUGCUCUUGGAAAGGAGGGAGUCUCUUUGGAAGAAGUAGAUAAUUUAAAGAUGAUCCUCGCACAAAAAGAGAAAAGCUAUGAAGAGUUAACUUCAAGUUUUAGCAAGCUUCUACUUGAUCAAGAACAACUUUCACAGGAGAAAAAGAAUAUAGUUGUUGAGGUCAAAAACCUUGAAAAACAGCUAAAGGUAUGCAAAUUUAACUCAGGCUGUGCUAAAUUGAAAGUCAUUUCAAAAGUUUAUGGUCAUUGGAGUAUGUUGCAGAAAACGUGUAUGUAAUUCCUUUGCUAAACAUUGAGCCCCAUAUAUUUAUCAUAAAACAAGUCUAGCAGCUGUAACCAAUAUAUUACCACUUGACACCACACAAUGGAAACAGCUCAGCUUGGCAGACAGGUUACACAUUUUGCCAAGUUCUCCCUGAUUAGUAUACUUAUUUCAAUUAACCAUACAUUAAAAGUACCUUUGAAUUUAUUCUGAAAUUCAGGCCAGUAAGCAAAAUGAAGGAAAGGCUAGGAAGGAAAUUGAGAAGCUAGAAGAAGAAAACAACAAACUCAGGCAAGUUUUUGUUUGACUUCUAGCAACAGUACUGUAUUAUGCAUAGUACUGUCAGUUUAGAAUAGGGGAUGCUCAGUGAUGAAAUAAAUCUAUUGUUUUGCUUAUUGUCAGAGAGGAAAUUGAAUCGUUAAAGGAAAACAUUGAACAGAAUGGUGUGGACACAGAAAACAAACUAGAAGAGCAUGAAGAAAAUGUAAGACUAGAUGAGUAUUAGACAACAAUACCUGAGAUUGCAUUCUCCCACUGGGGGAAAGAAGUUCUCCUUGUGGUGCUUUAAGGACAGUACAAUCCUACAUAACCAAGCUCUGAGGUCUCUGGAAGGUACUUUAAUGCCACAUUGGAAAUGUAAGAUGUAGGGUCACAUUUUAACAAUCUCGAUUUUUUUCUUUUUAGUAAUAGCCUGGAAACAAAGAGGAGCAUGGAUAGCUCAGUAAUGAAAUAUAAUAAAAUACUGUUCUGCUUGAUUUAUUAAUGUCACAUUCAGUGCUGCUUAAUGGGAAAUGACUUCAGUGACAGAGACCUUAUCAUGUGUAUUCCUAGAGUCAAUCUUUAUUUUAUUUGUGUAUUAUUAUCACAGAAUAAAAGUUUGCACAAUGAACUUGCUGAAAAGGACAGGCAGCUCAAGACAGUGGAGACAAAGGUAAAAGACUUCAUGUUGAUGCCUACAUUAACAUUUCUAUGUAUUCCUGUAUAUCUUAUUGAGUGUGUAAAAUUAUGGACACAAGAUUCACAGCAACAUUUACAACCUAUUAAUCUAUUUGAAAUAAUAUCGUUUGUAACCCCUAGGAGGUUUACAGUGGUUUUAUUGUGAAACAAUAAGCUUAAAGGAGUCAACGUUAAAAGACACCAGGGUUUGAAAUCUAUACUGCUUUAAAUAACCAAAACACAAGCCUUUUGUAAAAUAAUUGUGCUGUCUGAGAUAGUAAAACUGCUGCUUAUCUUUUUAGCUAAACAAUCUGAAAAAGCAAAUGGAAAAUAAGAGCAAAUCUCACGAAGAGCUGCAGCAAGAGAUUAAGAAUUUAAAAAGAAAAAUGGCAACAGACAGCAAAGCGUGCAGUCAAUUUGAAGCUGAGGUAAAUGAAUUAAAAAUGGAGCGUGAAAAUGUGCAAAGACAGCAUGAUGAUGAAAUGAAGAAUCUUCAGAAGGAUUUUGAAGCCAAAACGGUUUCUGAAGCAGAACUUUAUGAGGAGGUAUUUUCUAUUAUUGUUGAUUUUUAUAGCCACACAUUUUCUGAAAACACUACGCUAUAUAUUAGUGUGCUAUUGCGCACAUAGCCAGUAUAUUUUGGUGUUAGUUUCUCAAAUAAUACAAUAAAAAAUGAUUCUUGCAAAUAAAAUCAUGACAUUAAAAACAAGUCAACGUUGGGAACUUCCACAGGUACAGAAGCUAAAGCUUACAGCUGAUGAAGCAGUGAAGAAGCAGAAGGAAACUGAAAUCAAAUGUCAGCACAAGACAGCUGAAAUGGUUGCUUUAAUGGAAAAGCACAAGGUAAAACGUGUGAUUAUAGGUGAUCGAAACAGGCACCGAGAGCUAUUGCUUUUGGGAGAGGCAUUUUAAUGACCUGUGGUAUUUACUCGUGUUUUUGUAAAAUGUCAGAACCAGUAUGAUAAGAUGGUGGAAGAAAAAGAUGCUGAACUGGAGCAGCAGAGGAAAAAAGAAAUGGAAAAAAUUGCAAAUAGAACUUCACUGGAACAGGAAUUGUCCCGGAUCAAUAAUGAACUGUCAUAUUUCAAACAACAACUUCAAACUGUGAAAAAAGAAAAGGUCAGUCUAUAUAUUUUGCAUACAAUUUGAUGCUCCAGUUUUAUGAUUUUAGAUGCUAACUUCAUAUUGUUGUUAAUCUCAACUCAUUUUUAUGUAAUACGUUAUCUUUUCAUUGCAGGAAAAGAUAGAAAAAGAAGCUAAAGUAUUGAAAGAAAAUAUCAAGUUUUUGAAAGAAAAACUGAAAAAGAGGGAUAUUAUGGAACAAGAAGUCAGAAUCUUCCAGGAGAACCUGCAGUCUACAGAGGAAGAGACUGAGAGAAAGGCAAGAUUUAUGGAUACAGCAGUUUCGACUAAAUAUACUGGAUACUGAUUGACUUUCAGUAAUUUAAAUGAUUUUUUAUUUUUUUUUACUAACCUCUAAUCCUAAAAUUGUGUUACAUUUUAGACGCAGGACACAUACCCCCAAAAGAGCAGUUUUAGUUUAGGAAGCAGAAAGACUACUCCUUGCAAUAAAACUGCGGGGAGUGCUUUGCUGAAACCUGCAAAGAAAGGAGAAAAGGUUGAACCUGCCAUGCAUACACCUGUAUGGACCCCAGCCAGAAAAAUGCAAGCUACUCCGAAUGUAAAGAGUUACACAAUACGGACACCGCCUCCUUCUGCUGGGCAGUCAGUGCAGAAAGGAAUAUUCACCCCAAUGGUCGAUGAAACAUUAAAGAAAAAGAGAAAAGUUGCCCUGGAUCUUGAUAUGCAGUCUAACAGCUCUGAGAAGAGUGAUUUGCUGGUAAAGGUAUAUAUAUAUAUAUAUAUAUAUAUAUAUUGUGAAAGAUCCUUUCACUUUUCACAUUCGUUGCC
Polyodon spathula (Mississippi paddlefish) is the source of this 3244-nucleotide RNA transcript. It is a transcript of the gene named synaptonemal complex protein 1-like, with no coding region annotated. Lineage: Eukaryota; Metazoa; Chordata; Actinopteri; Acipenseriformes; Polyodontidae. The record is from RefSeq and is a predicted model, not a curated record. The transcript has 8 exons.